This 429-nucleotide ribosomal RNA is filed under the name Acidobacteriota bacterium. Its description in RNAcentral is "Acidobacteria bacterium partial 16S ribosomal RNA". It matches the Rfam family "Bacterial small subunit ribosomal RNA", at positions 355 to 776 of the family's 1533-position model. The record is from RNAcentral. Lineage: Bacteria; Pseudomonadati; Acidobacteriota.
UGGGGAAUUUUUGACAAUGGGGGAAACCCUGAUCCAGCCAUCCCGCGUGUGCGAUGAAGGCCUUCGGGUUGUAAAGCACUUUUGGCAGGAAAGAAACGUCAUGGGUUAAUACCCCGUGAAACUGACGGUACCUGCAGAAUAAGCACCGGCUAACUACGUGCCAGCAGCCGCGGUAAUACGUAGGGUGCAAGCGUUAAUCGGAAUUACUGGGCGUAAAGCGUGCGCAGGCGGUUCGGAAAGAAAGAUGUGAAAUCCCAGAGCUCAACUUUGGAACUGCAUUUUUAACUACCGGGCUAGAGUGUGUCAGAGGGAGGUGAAAUUCCGCGUGUAGCAGUGAAAUGCGUAGAUAUGCGGAGGAACCCCGAUGGCGAAGGCAGCCUCCUGGGAUAACACUGACGCUAAUGCACGAAAGCGUGGGGAGCAAACAGG